GCUCCAAUGGGUCAAUGGUAGACUGGUUUCGAAAUUUAAGGCGGAUCCGAUACGGUUGUCGAGGCAGACAUGGGUUCGAUUCCUGCUUGGAGCU
Mycena galopus ATCC 62051 is the source of this 94-nucleotide non-coding RNA. The record is from the annotation of a GenBank genome assembly. Lineage: Eukaryota; Fungi; Basidiomycota; Agaricomycetes; Agaricales; Mycenaceae.